CCUUGAAAUACCACCCUUUAAUGUUUGAUGUUCUAACGUUGACCCGUGAUCCGGGUUGCGGACAGUGUCUGGUGGGUAGUUUGACUGGGGCGGUCUCCUCCUAAAGAGUAACGGAGGAGCACGAAGGUUGGCUAAUCCUGGUCGGACAUCAGGAGGUUAGUGCAAUGGCAUAAGCCAGCUUGACUGCGAGCGUGACGGCGCGAGCAGGUGCGAAAGCAGGUCAUAGUGAUCCGGUGGUUCUGAAUGGAAGGGCCAUCGCUCAACGGAUAAAAGGUACUCCGGGGAUAACAGGCUGAUACCGCCCAAGAGUUCAUAUCGACGGCGGUGUUUGGCACCUCGAUGUCGGCUCAUCACAUCCUGGGGCUGAAGUAGGUCCCAAGGGUAUGGCUGUUCGCCAUUUAAAGUGGUACGCGAGCUGGGUUUAGAACGUCGUGAGACAGUUCGGUCCCUAUCUGCCGUGGGCGCUGGAGAAUUGAGGGGGGCUGCUCCUAGUACGAGAGGACCGGAGUGGACGCAUCACUGGUGUUCGGGUUGUCAUGCCAAUGGCACUGCCCGGUAGCUAAAUGCGGAAGAGAUAAGUGCUGAAAGCAUCUAAGCACGAAACUUGCCCCGAGAUGAGUUCUCCCUGACUCCUUGAGAGUCCUGAAGGAACGUUGAAGACGACGACGUUGAUAGGCCGGGUGUGUAAGCGCAGCGAUGCGUUGAGCUAACCGGUACUAAUGAACCGUGAGGCUUAACCUU
RNAcentral lists this ribosomal RNA (741 nucleotides) under Escherichia coli. RNAcentral's name for it is "partial 23S ribosomal RNA". It matches the Rfam family "Bacterial large subunit ribosomal RNA", at positions 2190 to 2925 of the family's 2925-position model. Lineage: Bacteria; Pseudomonadati; Pseudomonadota; Gammaproteobacteria; Enterobacterales; Enterobacteriaceae. The record is from RNAcentral.